UACAGAGGUGGCAAGCGUUGUUCGGAAUUACUGGGCGUAAAGGGCGCGUAGGCGGCCUACUAAGUCAGACGUGAAAUCCCUCGGCUUAACCGGGGAACUGCGUCUGAUACUGGAUGGCUUGAGUUUGGGAGAGGGACGCGGAAUUCCAGGUGUAGCGGUGAAAUGCGUAGAUAUCUGGAGGAACACCGGUGGCGAAGGCGGCGUCCUGGACCAACACUGACACUGAGGAGCGAAAGCCAGGGGAGCAAACGGG
This 253-nucleotide ribosomal RNA is filed under the name uncultured bacterium. Its description in RNAcentral is "partial 16S ribosomal RNA". It matches the Rfam family "Bacterial small subunit ribosomal RNA", at positions 524 to 776 of the family's 1533-position model. The record is from RNAcentral.